RNAcentral lists this ribosomal RNA (740 nucleotides) under uncultured marine bacterium. RNAcentral's name for it is "bacterial SSU rRNA". It matches the Rfam family "Bacterial small subunit ribosomal RNA", at positions 10 to 796 of the family's 1533-position model. The record is from RNAcentral.
AGUUUGAUCCUGGCUCAGAACGAACGCUGGCGGCAGGCCUAACACAUGCAAGUCGAGCGCGCCUUUCGGGGUGAGCGGCGGACGGGUUAGUAACGCGUGGGAAUAUGCCCUUUGGUACGGAAUAGCCUCUGGAAACGGAGAGUAAUACCGUAUGAGCCCUUCGGGGGAAAGAUUUAUCGCCAAAGGAUUAGCCCGCGUUAGAUUAGGUAGUUGGUGGGGUAAUGGCCUACCAAGCCUACGAUCUAUAGCUGGUUUUAGAGGAUGAUCAGCAACACUGGGACUGAGACACGGCCCAGACUCCUACGGGAGGCAGCAGUGGGGAAUCUUGGACAAUGGGGGCAACCCUGAUCCAGCCAUGCCGCGUGAGUGAUGAAGGCCUUAGGGUCGUAAAGCUCUUUCGCCUGUGAAGAUAAUGACGGUAGCAGGUAAAGAAACCCCGGCUAACUCCGUGCCAGCAGCCGCGGUAAUACGGAGGGGGUUAGCGUUGUUCGGAAUUACUGGGCGUAAAGCGCACGUAGGCGGAUCGGAAAGUUGGGGGUGAAAUCCCGGGGCUCAACCCCGGAACUGCCUCCAAAACUAUCGGUCUAGAGUUCGAGAGAGGUGAGUGGAAUUCCGAGUGUAGAGGUGAAAUUCGUAGAUAUUCGGAGGAACGCCAGUGGCGAAGGCGGCUCACUGGCUCGAUACUGACGCUGAGGUGCGAAAGUGUGGGGAGCAAACAGGAUUAGAUACCCUGGUAGUCC